Molecule: RNA transcript, 1937 nt
Organism: Magnolia sinica
Lineage: Eukaryota; Viridiplantae; Streptophyta; Magnoliopsida; Magnoliales; Magnoliaceae
Gene name: cytochrome P450 89A2-like
Exons: 3
Source: RefSeq, a predicted model, not a curated record
AACCCCAACAAGCCACACAUUCAACACCUCACAUAACAAAACAACACCAACAGUUCAGCAUGGAGAUGUGGUUACUCAUCUUCCUCUCCAUCUCUUUCUCCAUAGCUUUGAAAUUUCUUAUCUCCAACCUCUUCCAAACACCAAACACCAAGAAGAAGAAACUCCCACCUGGUCCACCCACCAUACCUUUAUUCGGCAACCUCUUAUGGCUGAGAAAGUCCCUUUUCGAUAUCGAGCCUGUCCUUCGGGAGCUUCGAGCCAAGUAUGGUCCCAUCGUCACCCUCCAUAUUGGCUCACGGCCCGCCAUCUUCGUCGCCGAUCACUCCCUUGCCCACGAGGCACUCAUCCAGAAGGGAUCCAUCUUCUCUGAUCGGCCACCUGCCACGGUUCCAGGCCGCGUCAUUACUAGCAACCAACAUAACAUUAGUUCGGCUGGAUACGGUCCGCUAUGGCGCCUCCUUCGCCGUAACCUUUUGUCGGAAAUCCUCCAUCCUUCGCGUGUGAAGUCUUAUGCCCCUGGCCGCGAGUGGGUGCUCGAGAUUUUGAUCAAACAGCUUCGAUGCCAUGCUGAUGCGGGUGAGCCUGUCCGUGUGGUGGAGAGCUUCCAAUACGCCAUGUUCUGUUUGCUAUUGCUCAUGUGCUUUGGCCAGAGGCUAGAUGAGAGCGAAGUGAAAAAAAUCGAAGAUAUACAGCGGCGGAUGCUCACGAGUUUUAUUAGGUUCAACAUCUUUGCCUUCUUGCCGAAACUUGGAAAGUUCUUGUUCCGAAAGCGGUGGAACUGGCUCUUACAGAUGCGCAAGGAGCAAGAACAGCUCCUUAUCCCUCUGAUAAGAGCUCGUCGAGAUCGGAAAGUAGACGAUCAAGAUGAGAAGAGCUUUGUGUUUUCCUAUGUUGACUCGCUCCUCGCUCUCGAGCUUUCUGAGGAGGGAGGGAGGAAACUCACUGAAGAUGAGAUGGUGAGCCUCUGCUCGGAGUUUCUAAAUGCCGGGACUGACACGACCUCGACCUCACUGCAAUGGAUCAUGGCGAAUCUGGUGAAGCAUCAGGACAUACAAUCGAAGCUAGCAGAAGAGAUUGAGGCGGUUGUUGGGAAGGAGAGAGAAAUAAUAGAGGAAGAUCUGCAGAAGAUGCCAUAUCUGAAGGCAGUGAUCAUGGAGGGGCUGAGGAGGCACCCGCCGGGCCACUUCGUGCUGCCCCACUCUGUUUCGGAGGAGGUAACGUUGGAUGGGUAUGUCAUACCAAAGAACGCGACAAUCAAUUUCACAGUGGCGGAGAUAGGCCUAAACAAGGAGAUCUGGGAGGAUCCGAUGGAAUUCCGGCCAGAGAGGUUCUUGGACGGAGGUGAGGCCGUUGACAUAACAGGGAGUAGAGAGAUAAAGAUGAUGCCUUUCGGGGCGGGGAGACGGAUAUGCCCUGCUCAUGGCCUGGCUAUGCUUCAUCUCGAGUAUUUUGUGGCUAAUCUGGUGAGGGAAUUCGAAUGGAAGGCGAAGGAUGGUGAAGAUGUUGAUUUAACUGAGAAACUUGAAUUUACUGUUGUUAUGAAGAAUCCUUUGGAGGCUAAUAUCAUUUCAAGGAGAAAAUAAGGAUAGAGAAGAACAGAACAACAGAAAACAGAGAGUAUCAAAAGUACCCACAUGGGCAGCAGAGAGCUUUGGGCGAGCUUUUGAAGGCUUCUCCUCAAGUUAGCGAUAGUCUCCUGAUAGAUACAUAUGGCUUUACUCACGUGAGGAUUUAGAAGACCUCUAAUUUCUUAGUGCCGGUGGGCCUCCCUCAACCCUCAUACCCAUGAUAAAUAAUAUAGGAGCUCGCUGUCCUAUAGCAUGAAAAGCUCAAUGGAAUCUUUGCUGAUUAGAAGAUGUUUUAGCUCAGAAUUUGGAGGAGGUUUGGUUACCUUUAUUUUUAUUAAAUUCCUUAGCCAGGGCUGUAAUUUGAUAGAA